RNAcentral lists this ribosomal RNA (563 nucleotides) under Enterobacter sp. RNAcentral describes it as "bacterial SSU rRNA". It matches the Rfam family "Bacterial small subunit ribosomal RNA", at positions 94 to 653 of the family's 1533-position model. Lineage: Bacteria; Pseudomonadati; Pseudomonadota; Gammaproteobacteria; Enterobacterales; Enterobacteriaceae. The record is from RNAcentral.
AGUGGCGGACGCGUGAGUAAUGUCUGGGAAACUGCCUGAUGGAGGGGGAUAACUACUGGAAACGGUAGCUAAUACCGCAUAACGUCGCAAGACCAAAGAGGGGGACCUUCGGGCCUCUUGCCAUCAGAUGUGCCCAGAUGGGAUUAGCUAGUAGGUGGGGUAACGGCUCACCUAGGCGACGAUCCCUAGCUGGUCUGAGAGGAUGACCAGCCACACUGGAACUGAGACACGGUCCAGACUCCUACGGGAGGCAGCAGUGGGGAAUAUUGCACAAUGGGCGCAAGCCUGAUGCAGCCAUGCCGCGUGUAUGAAGAAGGCCUUCGGGUUGUAAAGUACUUUCAGCGGGGAGGAAGGUGAUGAGGUUAAUAACCUCGUCAAUUGACGUUACCCGCAGAAGAAGCACCGGCUAACUCCGUGCCAGCAGCCGCGGUAAUACGGAGGGUGCAAGCGUUAAUCGGAAUUACUGGGCGUAAAGCGCACGCAGGCGGUCUGUCAAGUCGGAUGUGAAAUCCCCGGGCUCAACCUGGGAACUGCAUUCGAAACUGGCAGGCUAGAGUCUUGUA